UGAACGCUGGCGGCAGGCCUAACACAUGCAAGUCGAGCGGUAACAGAUCUAGCUUGCUAGAUGCUGACGAGCGGCGGACGGGUGAGUAAUGCAUAGGAAUCUGCCCGGUAGUGGGGGAUAACCUGGGGAAACCCAGGCUAAUACCGCAUACGUCCUACGGGAGAAAGGGGGCUUUGGCUCCCGCUAUUGGAUGAGCCUAUGUCGGAUUAGCUAGUUGGUGAGGUAAAGGCUCACCAAGGCAACGAUCCGUAGCUGGUCUGAGAGGAUGAUCAGCCACAUCGGGACUGAGACACGGCCCGAACUCCUACGGGAGGCAGCAGUGGGGAAUAUUGGACAAUGGGGGCAACCCUGAUCCAGCCAUGCCGCGUGUGUGAAGAAGGCCUUCGGGUUGUAAAGCACUUUCAGCGAGGAAGAACGCCUGGUGGUUAAUACCCGCCAGGAAAGACAUCACUCGCAGAAGAAGCACCGGCUAACUCCGUGCCAGCAGCCGCGGUAAUACGGAGGGUGCAAGCGUUAAUCGGAAUUACUGGGCGUAAAGCGCGCGUAGGUGGCUUGAUAAGCCGGUUGUGAAAGCCCCGGGCUCAACCUGGGAACGGCAUCCGGAACUGUCAGGCUAGAGUGCAGGAGAGGAAGGUAGAAUUCCCGGUGUAGCGGUGAAAUGCGUAGAGAUCGGGAGGAAUACCAGUGGCGAAGGCGGCCUUCUGGACUGACACUGACACUGAGGUGCGAAAGCGUGGGUAGCAAACAGGAUUAGAUACCCUGGUAGUCCACGCCGUAAACGAUGUCGACCAGCCGUUGGGUGCCUAGAGCACUUUGUGGCGAAGUUAACGCGAUAAGUCGACCGCCUGGGGAGUACGGCCGCAAGGUUAAAACUCAAAUGAAUUGACGGGGGCCCGCACAAGCGGUGGAGCAUGUGGUUUAAUUCGAUGCAACGCGAAGAACCUUACCUACCCUUGACAUCUACAGAAGCCGGAAGAGAUUCUGGUGUGCCUUCGGGAACUGUAAGACAGGUGCUGCAUGGCUGUCGUCAGCUCGUGUUGUGAAAUGUUGGGUUAAGUCCCGUAACGAGCGCAACCCUUGUCCUUAUUUGCCAGCGAGUAAUGUCGGGAACUCUAAGGAGACUGCCGGUGACAAACCGGAGGAAGGUGGGGACGACGUCAAGUCAUCAUGGCCCUUACGGGUAGGGCUACACACGUG
This 1197-nucleotide ribosomal RNA is filed under the name Halomonas sp. RP27. RNAcentral describes it as "bacterial SSU rRNA". It matches the Rfam family "Bacterial small subunit ribosomal RNA", at positions 30 to 1224 of the family's 1533-position model. Lineage: Bacteria; Pseudomonadati; Pseudomonadota; Gammaproteobacteria; Oceanospirillales; Halomonadaceae. The record is from RNAcentral.